RNAcentral lists this ribosomal RNA (446 nucleotides) under uncultured bacterium. RNAcentral's name for it is "partial 16S ribosomal RNA". It matches the Rfam family "Bacterial small subunit ribosomal RNA", at positions 338 to 795 of the family's 1533-position model. The record is from RNAcentral.
CCUACGGGAGGCAGCAGUCGAGAAUCAUUCACAAUGGGGGAAACCCUGAUGUUGCGACGCCGCGUGGGGGAAUGAAGGUCUUCGGAUUGUAAACCCCUGUCAUGUGGGAGCAAAUUAAAAAGAUAGUACCACAAGAGGAAGAGACGGCUAACUCUGUGCCAGCAGCCGCGGUAAUACAGAGGUCUCAAGCGUUGUUCGGAAUCACUGGGCGUAAGGCGUGCGUAGGCUGUUUCGUAAGUCGUGUGUGAAAGGCGCGGGCUCAACCCGCGGACGGCACAUGAUACUGCGAGACUAGAGUAAUGGAGGGGGAACCGGAAUUCUCGGUGUAGCAGUGAAAUGCGUAGAUAUCGAGAGGAACACUCGUGGCGAAGGCGGGUUCCUGGACAUUAACUGACGCUGAGGCACGAAGGCCAGGGGAGCGAAAGGGAUUAGAUACCCGAGUAGUC